Peromyscus maniculatus bairdii (prairie deer mouse) is the source of this 1433-nucleotide long non-coding RNA. RefSeq lists it as uncharacterized. Lineage: Eukaryota; Metazoa; Chordata; Mammalia; Rodentia; Cricetidae. The record is from RefSeq and is a predicted model, not a curated record.
CUGACUAGGUGCUUCCAAAUGACUUGACUGAACUUGAAGUCUUUCACCUCAGCUGCUGAAGCUCUCUGCGAAGUUGCCUGUUUCAGUCACUGUGUUCCUUGAGUUCUUCUAUUUCUAUUUGGCUCUUGGGUUUCUGGGAUGCACUUUUUGUACUUCGAGUUUAGUUUUGAUUCACUGUUCUGUUUGGUUUUUCAACCCUCUUCUCAUGUGACUCUCAGCUUCAUUAAGGUGACUAUUUUGAGGUCCUUAUCAGGGAGUGUGUAGAUGUUCAUUUCUUUAGUGUCUGUUAUGGAGAUUUUAUCUUGUUGCUUUUCUAGCAUCACAGUCUGUGACCAUCUGUGGUCCUUGUGACUUCAUGUUGAUACUUGUACAUUUGUAGACAGAACAUCUCUUCUAGGACUUAAGAUUGAUUUACAUGUGUGAAGUCCUUUACCAGUCAGUCUGCCCGAGGAUUUUAGGAUGGCCAGCUAUCUGGUUAGAUCACAAAGAGUAUUUCUGCUAGUCUUUAGACAGACAUGCUGCAUCUUAGGUCAGUACAUAGACAGACUUGGUGCCUGGGCUCCCAAGUGUCCAUAUUGUGUCCUGUUUUUAGGGCUAGAUCUGAAACCCAAGUCAAUUGGUGUAGGAUUAGACCUUGAGUCUCCAUGAGCAGUCCUGGUGUCCUGAUCUAUAAUAGGGUAAAGGAUGUUAGAAUUUGGAUCUCCAAAAGCCAGCCUGGAAUCUUGGCUUACAAUAUCUGACCUAUAUCUUCAGUUAGUUUAGAAGUUUAGUAUGUAGGCUCAACUUGGAAAUUAAGCUAAUGGAGACAGUUUGGCUUUAGGUUUGGACUAAAAUAUGUAUUGUUAGGAGUGGGACUAUAAACCAUGGCAAUGAUGGAGCCUCAUUCUCUGAAGCCUCAUCUGCCCCUUGGAUUUGAGCCUAAAGUUUGGAGAAGACAGCCUGGCACGAGGGCAGGAUGAGAACCUGGGACCAUAGGGGCUUGCCAGACCAUGAGGUCACUGAGGUCUAUUGUGAAGAGGAUGUUCCAUCCAUAUUCCACUUCCACAUGGGGUGUCUCUCUUCUAUGUUGUACUAACUGUGACUGGGCUUUGGGGUGGGAUAAUUCUCUCCACUCUAUGAAAUUGUCUCCCCAACUUCUUCACCAUACUUUCCUUUAUUGAGACACUCCACUCUGAUGUGAUAACAGCGCUCCUGGAGUUCUAAGAUUUUGAGAAGCCUCCAGAUCAAAAGCCUAGACAGCAAGACACGGCCUCUACUUUUAAUAAAAGAAGAUGCUGCAGCAUGGGACGCAAGGAUUGGGAGCACAGACUCUCUGCUUUAACUCACGAGAAAACCACUUUUGAAUACCACAGAAGAUGUGAUGUUCCUCAGUGGUUUACUGUGUAAGGCUGCAUGCUUGUUCAAUAAAGGUUCAGCUUCACGAACUAACCACA